GGACGGGGGCCCGCACAAGCGGUGGAGCAUGUGGUUUUAAUUCGAAGCAACGCGCAGAACCUUACCAGCCCUUGACAUCCCGGUCGUCGGUUUCCAGAGAUGGAUUCCUUCAGUUCGGCUGGACCGGUGACAGGUGCUGCAUGGCUGUCGUCAGCUCGUGUCGUGAGAUGUUGGGUUAAGUCCCGCGACGAGCGCCAACCCUCCGCCCUUUAGUUGCCAUCAUUCAGGUUGGGCACUCGUAAGGGGACUGCCGGUGAUAAGCCGAGAGGAAGGUGGGGAUGACGUCAAGUCCUCAUGGCCCUUACGGGCUGGGCUACACACGUGCUACAAUGGUGGUGACAGUGGGCAGCGAGGCCGCGAGGUCGAGCUAAUCUCCAAAAGCCAUCUCAGUUCGGAUUGCACUCUGCAACUCGACUUCAUGAAGCUGGAAUCGCUAGUAAUCGUGGAUCAGCCAAGCCGCGGUGAAUACGUUCCCGGGCCUU
This 482-nucleotide ribosomal RNA is filed under the name uncultured Mesorhizobium sp. RNAcentral describes it as "bacterial SSU rRNA". It matches the Rfam family "Bacterial small subunit ribosomal RNA", at positions 912 to 1382 of the family's 1533-position model. The record is from RNAcentral. Lineage: Bacteria; Pseudomonadati; Pseudomonadota; Alphaproteobacteria; Hyphomicrobiales; Phyllobacteriaceae.